RNAcentral lists this ribosomal RNA (1800 nucleotides) under Triticum aestivum (bread wheat). RNAcentral describes it as "partial small subunit ribosomal RNA". The record is from RNAcentral. Lineage: Eukaryota; Viridiplantae; Streptophyta; Magnoliopsida; Poales; Poaceae.
AUGGAGGAGGGGGUGGAGGGGAGCGGCGGCGGCGGGGGGCUCGGGCGGAAGAUCCCGGCGGGGGAGGUGGAGCUGAAGGAGAAGUCGGGGACGGCGUGGAGCCACUCGUUCCUGAACCAGAAGCCAUGGCACCCGCUCUCGUACCCGAACCAGCGCCGCAAGUGGAUCGCCGAGCAGAUCCACACCAACCGCGCGCGCCGCGACGAGGAGGUGCAGCGCGAGUUCGCGCAGGAGCAGGAGUUCUUCCGCCAGACCGCCCUCUUCUCCAAGAAGGACAAGGAGAAGAUGGAGAUAAUGAAAGCUGUGAGUUUCAUGUAUGUCCGCCCACCUGGAUACAAUCCAGAGAGUGCAAAGGCUGCUGAAAUUCAAGAUGAGAAGAAGAAGCUGGAUCAAGGCGAUGCCACCGAAGAUGCUGUAGCUGCAAAUACCUCUUCAAUGCCUGAUGGCCCAGAGAAGAAAAAGAGUAGGCCGAAAGAUGUGUUUGGCCGUUCAUUGCCAACAGAGCAAGAAUUUGAAGUUCUGAAAAAUGCUCCAAGAUUGGACACAGGUGCUCCUGCUAGACCUAAACCAUUUGGAGUCGAAGUUCGUAAUGUUAGAUGUUUAAGAUGUGGAAACUUCGGCCAUCAGAGUGGUGACCGGGAAUGUCCCAUGAAGGAUAUUAUCAUGCCGAAUGAGGAGAGCCGAUUGAAAAGGGACGAUCCACUUACAGCAAUAAAGGCACAGACUGAUUCGAGUGAGCCUUUGAAGUGGGAGCUUAAGCAAAAGCCUGGCAUGAGCCCUCCUCGAGGUGGAUAUAACCCUGAUGAUCCUAAUCAGCAGAUUGUAGCAGAAGAGAUAUUUGAUGAAUAUGGAGGAUUUCUCGGCGAUAUUGACAUUCCGGCUCUCCUUACCAACUUCUCCACGAGUAAAUCAAAGAAACGCUCCAAGAGUAAAAGCAGGCGCAGGCAGUCUGAGCCUGCUGCUCAUGUAGAAUCUGGAAGACAUCAUAGCAGUCAUCAUUCAUCCUCAGAUCCGGAACCUGAGAAGAGCAACAGGGCGUCAGGAAGCAAGAGAAAGAAAAAAUAUUGUUCUGACCCAUCCUCGUAUUCUGAUUCUGAGGCGGAAGCUGGGAAAGGAAAAGCCAAGCAGAAGUCAAAGCACAGGCACAGGAAGAAACACCUGCUAGAGUCCUCUUCUGAAUCAGAAGUUGAAGUUGACACAAGAAGGCAUCCAAAGAGGGAGCACAGGAAGAAAAAGAAGAAAGAGGAGAUGGAAAUUGCCCCAGUUUCCUCCUCCAGAGAUAAAGGAUAUACAAUAAGCAAGAGGCCUUCGAGGCGAUCGAGGGAGAAGCAACCCUACAGUGACUCAAGUUCUUCUGAGAGCGAGCAGCAGCAUCCAACACGAUGGCAGGACAAGCAAUCCCACAGUGACUCGAGUUCUUCCGAAAGCAAGCGGCAUUCAAGGAGAUCAAGGGAAAAGAGACAUCACAAAAUACCAGAUUUUCCCGUGAGCAAUAGGUCUUCACGGAAAUCGGAUGAGAAGUGGCACUAUACUGAUUCAAGCGCACGUGAAAGUGAUAGACAUUCAAGGAAACCAAGAGAAAAAUCGCGCUACUCUGAUCCAAGUGCUUCUGAGUAUUCAGAUUCUGAUCGGCCUUCACGGAGAUCGAAUGAGAAGCGACACUAUACUGACUUGAGCACACGUGAAAGUGAUAGGCAUUCAAGGAAACCGAGGGGGAAAUCACGCUGCUCUGAUCUAAGUGCUUCUGAGUAUUCAGAUUCUGAUCGGCGUAAUAGUCAUCGCCGUCGUCGAAGAAAAUGA